This 73-nucleotide transfer RNA is filed under the name Pomacea canaliculata. RNAcentral describes it as "tRNA-OTHER". Lineage: Eukaryota; Metazoa; Mollusca; Gastropoda; Architaenioglossa; Ampullariidae. The record is from RNAcentral.
UCCUCGGUAGUAUAAUGGUUAGUAUCCCCUUCUGUCGUGCGGGAGAAGAGGGGUUCAAUUCCCCGCUUGGGUG